This 773-nucleotide ribosomal RNA is filed under the name uncultured Neocallimastigales. RNAcentral describes it as "partial large subunit ribosomal RNA". It matches the Rfam family "Eukaryotic large subunit ribosomal RNA", at positions 22 to 634 of the family's 3401-position model. The record is from RNAcentral. Lineage: Eukaryota; Fungi; Neocallimastigomycota; Neocallimastigomycetes; Neocallimastigales.
GCAUCUGUGCAUGCAUGCAUAUCAAUAAGCGGAGGAAAAGAAACUAACAGGGAUUCCCCUAGUAACGGCGAGUGAAGCGGGAAGAGCUCAAAUUUGAAAUCUUAAAGGGUUUCCCUUUACGAAUUGUAGUUUAAAGAAGUGUUUUCUGUUGAGGUUUUGGUAAAAGUUCUUUGGAAUAGGACAUCAUAGAGGGUGAGAAUCCCGUAUUUGACCUUUACUUUCAACUUUGUGAUACACUUUCAAAGAGUCGGAUUGUUUGGGAAUGCAGUCCAAAAUGGGUGGUAAAUUUCAUCUAAAGCUAAAUAUUGGCGAGAGACCGAUAGCGAACAAGUACCGUGAGGGAAAGAUGAAAAGAACUUUGAAAAGAGAGUUAAACAGUACGUGAAAUUGUCAAAAGGGAAGCGUUUGACACCAGUGUUGUUUUUCUGAAAAUCAAUUAAAGAACUGUUUAUGCUAAGCUGUUUAGACUUUAUCAGCUAUCUGUUUAGUUUUGAGCUUUUCUUUAAUGCACUUUUCAGUUAACAAGUCAACAUCAAUUUCUUUUGCUGUAAAAAAGCUUGAGGAAGGUGGCUUGAGAUUCGUCUUAAGUGUUUAUAGCCUCUUGCCUAUGCAGUCGAGAGAUUGAGGUCUGCAGCGUAGAUCCUUCGGGGCUAAAUGCAUUUGUGCUAAGUUAUAGCAUUUUAUAGACAACUUGUUGACUAUGAUUUGUCUUGUAGCUUACUCGCUUAUGUUAUUUUACCUACGCUUAGGAUGUUGACAGCAGUAUAGACUGU